GUGCUUUGGCAAAGUGGGUGGGGUUUAUAUCCUGCCUAUAUUCCUGUUUGGCCCUGUCUGGGUCUGUGGUAUCACCGGAUGGGGCCACAGUGUCUCCUGACCCCUCCUGUCUCAGCCUCCAGUACUUACGCUGUAGUAGUUUGUGUCGGGGGGCUAGGGUCAGUCAUAUCUGGAGAACUUCUCCUGUCUUAUCCGGUGUGAAUUUACGUAUGCUCUCUCUAAUUCUCUCUUUCGGAGGACCUGUGCCCUAGGACCAUGCCUCAGGACUACCUGGCAUGAUGACUCCUUGCUGUCCCCAGUCCACCUGGCCGUGCUGCUGGUCCAGUUUCAACUGUUCUGCCUGUGGCUAUGGAGCCCUGACCUGUUCACCGGACAUGCUACCUGUCCCAGACCUGCUGUUUUCAACUCUCUAGAGACAGCAGGAGCGGUAGAGAUACUCUCAAUGAUCAGCUAUGAAAAGCCAAUUGACAUUUACUCCUGAGGUGCUGACCUGUUGCACCCUCGACAACUACUGUGAUUAUUAUUAUUUGACCAUGUUGGCCAUUCAUGAACAUCUUGGCCAUGUUCUGUUAUAAUCUCCACCCGGCACAGCCAGAAGAGGACCGGCCACCCCUCAUAGCCUGGUUCCUCUCUAGGUUUCUUCCUUGGUUUUGGCCUUUCUAGGGAGCUUUUCCUAGCCACCGUGCUUCUACACCUGCAUUGCUUUCUGUUUGGAGUUUUAGGCUGGUUUUCUGUACAGCACUUUGAGAUAUCAGGUGAUAUCAGUAAGAAGGGCUUUAUAAAUACAUUAGAUUUGAAUAAAAAGGCAUAUUUGAUGGGCGCAGGAUUAUGCUCCAGCCAAGCAGUAGUAAUACCUGGAUGAAACUAAACUACACCCAGGUAUAUAAGUCCCUCCCAUCCAAUCAUGUGACAAACACAUCUAAAACAGACACAUGGGAGACAGGAUCCAUGUUUAAUCAAGUCAUCAUUUGAAACGAGCAUCUGUCUGAGCAUGUCCCCGUUCAACAUAACACAAAUGGAUGUCAAGAGGUGGGCAUUACAGCAUCAACAGUCAUUAUUCAUGCCAGAUAGAUACACCCAACUGGCCGAACCGGCCAACAUAAGGCCAGUCAUUAUUCAUGCCAGAUAGACACACCCAACUGGCAGAACCGGCCAACAUAAGGCCAGUCAUUAUUCAUGCCAGAUAGAUACACCCAACUGGCAGAACCGGCCAACAUAAGGCCAGUCAUUAUUCAUGCCAGAUAGACACACCCAACUGGCAGAACCGGCCAACAUAAGGCCAGUCAUUAUUCAUGCCAGAUAGACACACCCAACUGGCAGAACCGGCCAACAUAAGGCCAGUC
Long non-coding RNA from Oncorhynchus tshawytscha (Chinook salmon), 1343 nucleotides. Lineage: Eukaryota; Metazoa; Chordata; Actinopteri; Salmoniformes; Salmonidae. The record is from Ensembl.